UACGGAGGGUGCGAGCGUUGUUCGGAAUCACUGGGCGUAAAGCGCGUGUAGGCGGCUUCUUAAGUCUGGUGUGAAAUCCCGGGGCUCACCCCCGGAAGUGCACUGGAUACUGGGAAGCUCGAGUACCGGAGAGGAGGGUGGAAUUCCUGGUGUAGCGGUGAAAUGCGCAGAUAUCAGGAGGAACACCGGUGGCGAAGGCGGGUCUCUGGGCCGAAACUGACGCUGAGGAGCGAAAGCGUGGGGAGCGAACAGG
Molecule: ribosomal RNA, 253 nt
Filed under: uncultured bacterium
Lineage: Bacteria
Description: partial 16S ribosomal RNA
Rfam family: Bacterial small subunit ribosomal RNA
Source: RNAcentral